RNAcentral lists this ribosomal RNA (497 nucleotides) under uncultured bacterium. RNAcentral's name for it is "partial 16S ribosomal RNA". It matches the Rfam family "Bacterial small subunit ribosomal RNA", at positions 28 to 507 of the family's 1533-position model. The record is from RNAcentral.
GAUGAACGCUGGCGGCGUGCCUAAUACAUGCAAGUCGAGCGAACAGACGAGGAGCUUACUCCUCUGACGUUAGCGGCGGACGGGUGAGUAACACGUGGAUAACCUACCUAUAAGACUGGGAUAACUUCGGGAAACCGGAGCUAAUACCGGAUAACAUGUUGAACCGCAUGGUUCAACAGUGAAAGACGGUCUUGCUGUCACUUAUAGAUGGAUCCACGUCGCAUUAGCUAGUUGGUAAGGUAACGGCUUACCAAGGCAACGAUGCGUAGCCGACCUGAGAGGGUGAUCGGCCACACUGGAACUGAGACACGGUCCAGACUCCUACGGGAGGCAGCAGUAGGGAAUCUUCCGCAAUGGGCGAAAGCCUGACGGAGCAACGCCGCGUGAGUGAAGAAGGUCUUCGGAUCGUAAAACUCUGUUAUUAGGGAAGAACAAAUGUGUAAGUAACUAUGCACGUCUUGACGGUACCUAAUCAGAAAGCCACGGCUAACUACGUG